Molecule: transfer RNA, 61 nt
Filed under: Trictenotoma davidi
Lineage: Eukaryota; Metazoa; Arthropoda; Insecta; Coleoptera; Trictenotomidae
Description: tRNA-Pro
Source: RNAcentral
GAGAUAGUUUAAUUAAAAUAUUAAUUUUGGAGAUUAAAGAUAAAUUUAUGUUUUUUCCUGA